RNAcentral lists this ribosomal RNA (1335 nucleotides) under Kocuria turfanensis. RNAcentral describes it as "bacterial SSU rRNA". It matches the Rfam family "Bacterial small subunit ribosomal RNA", at positions 1 to 1350 of the family's 1533-position model. Lineage: Bacteria; Bacillati; Actinomycetota; Actinomycetes; Micrococcales; Micrococcaceae. The record is from RNAcentral.
CUCCAGAGUUUGAUCCUGGCUCAGGACGAACGCUGGCGGCGUGCUUAACACAUGCAAGUCGAACGAUGAUCUCCCGCUUGCGGGGGUGAUUAGUGGCGAACGGGUGAGUAAUACGUGAGUAACCUGCCCUUGACUCUGGGAUAAGCCUGGGAAACCGGGUCUAAUACUGGAUACGACCCCCUGUCGCAUGGUGGGGGGUGGAAAGGGUUUGACUGGUUUUGGAUGGGCUCACGGCCUAUCAGCUUGUUGGUGGGGUAAUGGCUCACCAAGGCGACGACGGGUAGCCGGCCUGAGAGGGUGACCGGCCACACUGGGACUGAGACACGGCCCAGACUCCUACGGGAGGCAGCAGUGGGGAAUAUUGCACAAUGGGCGGAAGCCUGAUGCAGCGACGCCGCGUGAGGGAUGACGGCCUUCGGGUUGUAAACCUCUUUCAGUAGGGAAGAAGCGAGAGUGACGGUACCUGCAGAAGAAGCGCCGGCUAACUACGUGCCAGCAGCCGCGGUAAUACGUAGGGCGCAAGCGUUGUCCGGAAUUAUUGGGCGUAAGAGCUCGUAGGCGGUUUGUCGCGUCUGCUGUGAAAGCCCGGGGCUCAACCCCGGGUCUGCAGUGGGUACGGGCAGACUAGAGUGCAGUAGGGGAGACUGGAAUUCCUGGUGUAGCGGUGAAAUGCGCAGAUAUCAGGAGGAACACCGAUGGCGAAGGCAGGUCUCUGGGCUGUUACUGACGCUGAGGAGCGAAAGCAUGGGGAGCGAACAGGAUUAGAUACCCUGGUAGUCCAUGCCGUAAACGUUGGGCACUAGGUGUGGGGGACAUUCCACGUUCUCCGCGCCGUAGCUAACGCAUUAAGUGCCCCGCCUGGGGAGUACGGCCGCAAGGCUAAAACUCAAAGGAAUUGACGGGGGCCCGCACAAGCGGCGGAGCAUGCGGAUUAAUUCGAUGCAACGCGAAGAACCUUACCAAGGCUUGACAUUCACCGGACCGCCUCAGAGAUGGGGUUUCCCUUCGGGGUCGGUGGACAGGUGGUGCAUGGUUGUCGUCAGCUCGUGUCGUGAGAUGUUGGGUUAAGUCCCGCAACGAGCGCAACCCUCGUUCUAUGUUGCCAGCACGUGAUGGUGGGGACUCAUAGGAGACUGCCGGGGUCAACUCGGAGGAAGGUGGGGAUGACGUCAAAUCAUCAUGCCCCUUAUGUCUUGGGCUUCACGCAUGCUACAAUGGCCGGUACAAAGGGUUGCGAUACUGUGAGGUGGAGCUAAUCCCAAAAAGCCGGUCUCAGUUCGGAUUGAGGUCUGCAACUCGACCUCAUGAAGUCGGAGUCGCUAGUAAUCGCAGAUC